GUUGAUAUUCUUGGCAAUGCCAGUAGUGCUUUGAGUAACAUGAGCAAGGGUAUAGCAGCACUGUCCAUGGACAAGAAAUUCAUUCAGGGCCGGAUGAGACAGGUACAUCAAUGAUUGUUCCUAUGUUCAUAUGCGUGUGGCAAAACUGGUGCGAGUUGUACCUAAAACAAAUUGCAAUGCUGCUGCUGUGUUUUCUCCAGGAUAGCAAAGGCGUCGAAGAUUUUGGUGAUGUCAUACGAGAUGGAGGUGGGGCUCUCGCGAAGGGAAUCUUCAGAGGUGUCACGGGCAUAUUGACAAAGCCCAUCGAGGGUGCAAAAUCUUCUGGUGUUGAGGGCUUUGUACAGGGAGUUGGAAAAGGCUUAAUUGGUGCAGCUGCUCAGCCAGUGAGUGGAGUUCUUGAUCUUCUGUCGAAAACCACUGAAGGUGCAAAUGCUGUAAAAUUGAAAAUAUCAUCAGCUAUAAUGGCUGAGGAGCAGUUGCUGCGUAGACGUCUCCCCCGAGCAAUUGGUGGUGAUAGCUUGAUCUAUCCUUAUGACGAGUAUAAAGCAGCUGGCCAGGUAAUUAGUUGUCUCUCUAUACAGGCCUUGAUGUAUUUGAAUAGCAUUUUCUGAAUGAUAUAUUUUCCUUUUUUUUGUUUGUGUGUGUGUGUGUGGGAUUAUGAAGGCUGUCUUGCAGUUAGCUGAAUCUGGUACGUUUCUUGGCCAAGUUGACCUUUUUAAAGUGCGAGGAAAGUUUGCAUCUACUGAUGCUUAUGAGGACCAUUUCAUACUUCCCAAGGGGAAAAUUCUCUUAGUUACGCACAGAAGAGUAUCGUUACUUCAGGUGAGACGGGUUUACACUCCAGUUACACUAUGUUUAACAAUUAUUCAGUCAAAAUCAUUAUAUGUUUGGUUUCAGGUACCGAUGAUGACCCAGAGAAAGUUCAAUCCUGCAAAGGAUCCAUGCUCGGUAAUCUGGGAUGUAUUAUGGGAUGAUCUUGUCACAUUGGAGACUACUCAUGGGAAAAAAGAUGCUCCUGGAUCCUUGCCUUCAAAGCUUAUUUUGUAUUUGAAGGCUAAGCCUGCGAAUUCGAGGGAAGCUGUUCAUUUGAUCAAGUGUAAUCGUGGUUCUGAUCAAGCGACUAUCAUUUACUCAGCAAUUGAUAAAGUCUAUAGAACCUAUGGCCCAAAUGCAAUCAAGGUACACAAAAUCUUAAAUACAAAUGACAUGUACACGUAAUCACACAGCAUGCCUAGUUCCAGACUAAAUAGAAAAUGGUUAAACUUCAUGUUAAUACCAAACUUUCUGUGGAGUGUGCUUAACAUUGCCCGAUUUAAUUUAGUUAAAUUUGGACCAAAGCUGAACGAUUUCUGUCAACUUUCUUUAGGAAUUACUGAGAUGGAAGGUACCAAAGCCAUAUGCCCCUCGCAAUACCAACCGUCACACUGUUCAAGAUUUAUCAUUUGCAUAGAUGAUAUUGAUCAUGCAAAAGGUCAAGAAACAUUAUAUACACUUGUGAUGUUCCAGAUGGGCUGCGUUUGAGUACCCAUACCUGCUAAAGCAAAGGUAUUGACACUUAACUGCUCUUGUGUUGCACACCAUCAUUUGAGUAAAAUCAAGCUUGUUUGAGUAAAAUUUGGAUUGCUAAAUGAUUAAUUGACCUUGUAGCCCCGUUGUUUCUCUAUCAUGAGCUUUGAGUGUUAUAAUUUUAAAACUGGAGCUAAAAGGCAUAUUCAGCUUGAGUUCUGAAAACUUCUUCCCUGACAACUGGUAUAAGUGGAUCUUGCUAGAGUUAUAUUAUGUUCCAUGUAUAGCCUGUAUAGUUCCCCGUAGUAUGAGGGGUUUCCUGCAUAUUUACCACCUGUACAUGUAUAUAUCCUGGGGGUAUAUAGUCUUUGGCCAUUGCCCCCAGGAAAUACAAGUUGCUAUUUCCCUAACAGAUCUAUCAUAUGGUAUAUAUGUGCUUGCAAGCACUGAGAAAUCAUAGAAGUUUUAGUCUUAAAUAUACUACUCCCUCCGAUCCGUAUUAAUCGUCGCAGCUUUAGUCCAACUUGGGAGCAUCUCCUUAUUUCUUUUUCUUGUGGUGUAAUGUUAAUCCAGACGACUAUAAUUCUUUGUCUGGUAUCAUCUUCCUGACAGCACUGCCACAUAAUUAAGUUUGAAGGCUCCUCAAAAUCUAGAAUGUAGCUGUGACAUUUUUUCUUUGAGGAAUCGUUUGUUUCGAUUGGUGUUGGCAUCAGAUAAUGUAGUAUGAUUCAUAUUGAGCUUAUGUUUUGCAGGUAUUAGUUGGCUUGCAGCCCGCGUAGUUGCUAAUGGAUUGAAGUCGCUAAAGUAAAAUAAGAUAUCAUUUCUUGCUCGAUUUAAGUGGUGAUUUCCUUCCACAGCUACGGCUCUUACCUACAGGUGGGUACUACUGGCAAAGGAGAACCUGUCCACUCCGGCUAGAAAAACGGAAAGCCUUUUUCUUACUAGUUUGAUUUCUACUCCAUUGGAUGCUCGAGGCUCAAGAAGAAAAUAUGGAAAAAACAACUUGUUUACAGGUAUAUGUUAGGAUGUCAGGAUAGCUGGUGGUGGCUCUUAUUGAUUACAUGUACAUAGCCUUUUUGUGAUGUGAAGCCAGAGCAUUUUCUUUAAGCAGAACUAGAUGACCCUUUAUGCCCUUUGCGCAAAAAUCAGUUGUAGCCGUGAAGACAAGUAACCUAUAACCUAUGAACAGUUAUGUUUUACGAAUGACCCAUGGAGGUGUUUGGUUCCCUACAUGACUAUGAAUAAGCAACAAAGAAGCCGAGCAAACUAU
RNAcentral lists this long non-coding RNA (2776 nucleotides) under Triticum aestivum (bread wheat). Its description in RNAcentral is "long non-coding RNA (TAES_LNC010313)". Lineage: Eukaryota; Viridiplantae; Streptophyta; Magnoliopsida; Poales; Poaceae. The record is from RNAcentral.